UACGGAGGGUGCAAGCGUUGUCCGGAAUCACUGGGCGUAAAGGGCGCGUAGGCGGCCUGAUAAGUAGGGGGUGAAAUCCUGCGGCUUAACCGCAGGGCUGCCUUCUAAACUGUCAGGCUAGAGCACAGUAGAGGCAGGUGGAAUUCCCGGUGUAGCGGUGGAAUGCGUAGAGAUCGGGAAGAACAUCAGUGGCGAAGGCGGCCUGCUGGGCUGUUGCUGACGCUGAGGCGCGACAGCGUGGGGAGCAAACAGG
This 253-nucleotide ribosomal RNA is filed under the name uncultured bacterium. Its description in RNAcentral is "partial 16S ribosomal RNA". It matches the Rfam family "Bacterial small subunit ribosomal RNA", at positions 524 to 776 of the family's 1533-position model. The record is from RNAcentral.